Mesocricetus auratus (golden hamster) is the source of this 3172-nucleotide long non-coding RNA. RefSeq lists it as uncharacterized. The transcript has 4 exons. Lineage: Eukaryota; Metazoa; Chordata; Mammalia; Rodentia; Cricetidae. The record is from RefSeq and is a predicted model, not a curated record.
GCGCUCUGUCCCAACACCCGCCCAAGGACUAGCACCCCAGAAACCAGCAACAAAGUCCAGACAGGGGAUUUUUAACAGCGCUCCAUAGACCAGGGAUAACCAAGCACCAUCCAGACUGUCCCCUGAGGAAGGCAAAGUGCUGAAGACCAGCAGGGGACGGGAGCCCUGAGAGCAAGGCGUGGCCGAGCUGGGGGGAACUAAUCGGGCUCCAAAAUAGCACAGCCGGUUCUGCCUCGCUUCACCCGGCACAGUGUCUGGCUGCUUCUGCUUUCAGUCUGACUCAGCCUGGCGGGGGCAGGAGAGGGUGGCCUGUAUGGACGCAGGCCGCCGGACGACCACAAGCAGUGGUCCAGAACUCUCGGUGGAGCAGCUUUUCUCCCCGACUCGACACCGCCUCUCCUGCCCUGCCCAACAGUGAGUUGGCUCCAGGGAAGAGGCAAUAGGGUACCAGGGCCGAGGAGCUCCCUGUCAGGGUGCUGGCCUCAGCGAGCCAGCCCACCUGGGUGUGUCCCAGGAUGUCAGCCUUACACCUGCACUGCCUGGAAGCACUCGGACUUCUCCAGCCCGACAACCAGGAAGCCGGAGGACACUUGCCCUGAAAGCCGCCUUCUCCUCCCCUGAGGUGAAAGGGCCCUCCCAGCCACCUGCAGCUCUACCCGGGGGCCACACGCAGGUCUGAGAGGAACGCGGACGGCUUUCUCCCGGCAGCCAUUUCUACCUUUCGCCGGUCCUUAAACACAGGAGUGAGAGGCUCCAGCAGCAGACUCCCCUCAGAUGGAAGAUGCUUGAGCCCAAGCCUGAGAAAGACCCAGAAAGCCACAUCUAGCACAGGCCCACCUCAGAAGCUCCCAGUCCCUGGCCAGCUCAGCUGGGACGAGCAGGCCGCCUGCUAUACCAGUGAGUAAGGGGCAGUGCAAUGGACACGCGAAGAGACACUCCUAGUAAGCGGAGUGUCAGUGGUGGCAGAUACGCGCCUGACACCACCAGCCUGACACCACCCAGGCAUGCAAGCUGUGACCAAACAUUCUGCGAGCGGCGGUUAGGAAGAAAGGUCAAAGCUACAGCAUCUAUGUGGCGGGCCAGCCCAUCAGGGAUGUCGUAUGGUGAGCCCCAGCCCUGCCCCAGCUUCACGCUGGGGACUUUCUUACUCAGUGACUCACGGAGCCACACUGGCCUCAAACUCACUAGAGAGCUUGGGAUGACCUUGAUCUUCUGACCUCUGACCUCCACAUCCUGAGUGCUCCCUUACAGGCUUGAGACUCUAGGUUGGUUUUACACGGGGCUGGGGAUCGAACCCAGAGUUUCAAGCAUGCUAGACAAGCACUCUACUAACUGAGCCACACCCCCAGCCUGCCACUCCCCCUUUUGACUCUCCCUGCUGGCCCAGCUAGGUAGAAGGCAUAGCAGAAGGGCAGCAGGGCUGGGGUAGACAGCGGACUUGGGAGAUGCUUCACCAGGAACGAUCAGGGGUGACCUUGCAAAACAGAUCCCACAGCACCCCAUGUCUCACAAACCGCUUCUGGUUCAGAUGGGCACGAGAGGGAGGGGCACCAGAAGCUCCACUCCCCGCUGACUAAUGGGCAGUCAGAGGCAGGAUGGGCCUGGAGAAGAGGCGGCAAGAGAAAGAACGAACAGCAGCUGCCUAAAGUCAGGAGGUGAGCUUGGGGCCAGCCUGAGCUACACUGUGAGUCCCAGGAUAGCCAGAGCUACAUAGAGAGACCUGAUCUUAACAAGCAAAAUAAUAAUCACAUUUUUCCUUUUGAAGGGGGACUGCUGGCUGCAGACUAUGUGUCACCUGGCGUGGUCACACAUCUUUCUAGGUGAAAAUGGAGUACCCAGGGCUCUCUCACCUGGUGAGGCUCAGGAAAGGCCCAGCCAGUGUCUGUCAGGGAGGCAGCAAACACGAAGGGAGAUCCAUCCUACCUGCUUCCUAUUCCAGACUCUCCAUCCCUGUUAGACGUGUGGCAUGGUGACUGACCCAGAGGGAGGAGCCGCCUUGGACACAGACCAAAGGGAGCUGUGGGAAGAGGGUGGGCUGACCUCCAGGCUGAGUUUGCUAAGUCCAGCAGGAGCUGCUGAGGGUCCAGCCACCUCUGGCCUGUAAGCACUACCAUAGCAGCCAGAGGUAGUGUGGCAUUAGCAUCCCGCCCAGUGACCCCACACACACACCCUAGCCAAAAUCCAGGAGCCCCCUGUAAUCUCAGAGCAUGAUCCAAGCCCCCUGAACCACCGCCUCCCCGCCCCUCCCCCAUGAGAAUGAGCCAACAGCACACCUCCACAAUGGACAUUUUAUCAGCUUCCUGCCUUUCCAGGACUCAUGGACCCUACUUUUCCAGGUAGUCCCUGGGAAACUUCCCAAAUAAACUAUUUCCAGAUGCAUUCUUUUGUCAGCCAGUAGGAAUCUGGACUGAAACGGAGCCGCUAGCUCUAGAGCUGCGAAGGGCCAGCUGCGGAUGAGCCGGUGACAGAUGACCUCCCUGUGGGGACCUGGGAAGCAAGAAUGUAAGACUCAGUAACUGGGAAAAAAGGCGGCCAAAGCCGUGGCCAGAUGUGGACCUUGAACUUCCUGACCUAUGGGCAGGUUCCUGGUGUACGAAAUGAAAAUAACCUCCAUCCUGGAGAGUUUCUGUAUGGGUCAAGCGUAACGGAUAUAAUCCGGCAUCUGGAAGACUGAGUGUGCAACAAGCCUUGAGAGAUGAACACCAGUCCUUCAUGGACGGAUGGAACAAGUGGGCACGUGGGCUCUCGGGUCCUGUCUGCGCACCACGCACUUCUCCAGACUGCCUCACAUGGUCCCUGGUCCUGAACUGACUGUGUGAUCUGACUGCAUGGCCGUUGCCCCCACCCUGGCCCGUGCAAACAUCACUCCACCACUCGCUGGGGAUGUGCUUCUUCACGGGACCUUCUCAGUAAGAAGUGGGGUAAAGAAGUCAAUGGAGAAACCGAGGCACGGAGAAGUUCCUGUCCAGUUCCUAAAUUCUCUUUCAUUUUAUGCAUGUGUCUUUUGCUGGUGUGCAUGUGUGUGACCACAUGAGUGCCCAGAGCCUGUGGGGAUGAGAAGAGGGUGUUGGAACCUCUAGAACUGGAAUAAGAGCUGGCUGUGAGCCAUCAUAUGAGUAUUAGGAAUCGAACCUGGGUUCUCGCAACAGCAACAAGUGCUUCUAACUGCCGA